GCCAGACUCCUACGGGAGGCAGCAGUGGGGGAUAUUGCACAAUGGGGGGAACCCUGAUGCAGCGACGCCGCGUGGGUGAAGAAGCGCCUCGGCGCGUAAAGCCCUGUCAGCAGGGAAGAAAAUGACGGUACCUGAAGAAGAAGCCCCGGCUAACUACGUGCCAGCAGCCGCGGUAAUACGUAGGGGGCAAGCGUUAUCCGGAUUUACUGGGUGUAAAGGGGGCGCAGACGGCGAUGCAAGCCAGGAGUGAAAGGCCGGGGCCCAACCCCGGGACUGCUCUUGGAACUGGGUGGGUGGAGUGCAGGAGGGGGAGGCGGAAUUCCUGGGGGAGCGGGGAAAUGCGUAGAUAUCAGGAGGAACACCGGUGGCGAAGGCGGCCUGCUGGGCUGCAACUGACGUUGAGGCUCGAAAGCGUGGGGAGCAAACAGGAUUAGAUACCCCCGUAA
RNAcentral lists this ribosomal RNA (446 nucleotides) under uncultured bacterium. RNAcentral describes it as "bacterial SSU rRNA". It matches the Rfam family "Bacterial small subunit ribosomal RNA", at positions 330 to 793 of the family's 1533-position model. The record is from RNAcentral.